CCCCACUCUCUCCACAACUCUGAGAAUCAGAACCUCUCUCUUUCUUCAAAACUUCAUUAUUGAUCUCUCAAAUCUCUCACUCACUCGCUCUCUCUCUCUCUCUCUCUCUCUCUCUCUAAACCCUUCGGUCUCAGAGAUUACGAUUCAACCUUCUUCAGCUCGGUGAGCACCACCGUCUACAAUCUCAGUUUCGUAUCCUCUCUCUCUCUCUCUCUCUCUUUCAAGCUCUUCCUUCCGUCUAUUCUUCCCCUAGGGUUUGGAUCAACUCUCCUCUUGCCUGACUAUGUUGUGAGAUUUGAGUUCAAACAGUAAAGGAAGCCCUAGAUUGUUGUGUUUUGGGGGUUCUUCUUGUUCCUUGAAGGCAAUACCGCUACAGUUAUUGAGACUUGGUCAUCUCUUUUUCCCCCUCAAGAAGAUCAAUGUGGUGACAUAGCGGGGUUUUGUUCUAGUAGAUGAGCGUAUCCUGCCAGUGCACAAGGGAUUUUUGUUGUUGAACAAGUCAGUGGAAAAGAUCACGUGCUCAACCAUUUGGGCAUUCCAGCAGCUUGUUUCACUCACCCAGAAAUUAGUAUGGUUGGACUCACAGAGCCUCAAGAGAGGGAGAGAGCUGAAAUAGAGGGGUUUGAAAUAAGUGUUGCCAAGACAAGUUUAAUAAUAUCUAUGGUAAUUGAUAUAAUUUUUUUUGUGUUUUCAAGCAAAAACACAAACUUUGAACUAUUUAGUUUGACUCAACACAUUUUGAAACUUAUUUAGUUUUCAAGCAAACUUUGAACUAUAUCUACUACUCAUUUCGACUCGUCUCAUUUCACACAAGCCCUAUUUAAACUUUUAGAAUUAUGUAUAUUUUGUGUUGCUCUGGUUUCAAUCUUAAUAAACAAUUUUGCUCACAAAUUACAGGGGCAUGG
Camellia sinensis is the source of this 905-nucleotide non-coding RNA. The record is from RefSeq and is a predicted model, not a curated record. Lineage: Eukaryota; Viridiplantae; Streptophyta; Magnoliopsida; Ericales; Theaceae.